ACGAACGCUGGCGGCGUGCUUAACACAUGCAAGUCGCACGGAAAGGCCCUGCUUGCAGGGUACUCGAGUGGCGAACGGGUGAGUAACACGUGGGUGAUCUGCCCUGCACUUCGGGAUAAGCUUGGGAAACUGGGUCUAAUACCGGAUAGGAACCAUCUUUAGUGUGGUGGUUGGAAAGUUUUUUCGGUGUAGGAUGAGCUCGCGGCCUAUCAGCUUGUUGGUGGGGUAAUGGCCUACCAAGGCGGCGACGGGUAGCCGGCCUGAGAGGGUGUACGGCCACAUUGGGACUGAGAUACGGCCCAGACUCCUACGGGAGGCAGCAGUGGGGAAUAUUGCACAAUGGGCGCAAGCCUGAUGCAGCGACGCCGCGUGGGGGAUGAAGGCCUUCGGGUUGUAAACUCCUUUCGCUAGGGACGAAGCUUUUUGUGACGGUACCUAGAUAAGAAGCACCGGCUAACUACGUG
Molecule: ribosomal RNA, 464 nt
Filed under: uncultured bacterium
Lineage: Bacteria
Description: partial 16S ribosomal RNA
Rfam family: Bacterial small subunit ribosomal RNA
Source: RNAcentral